Molecule: ribosomal RNA, 473 nt
Filed under: uncultured bacterium
Lineage: Bacteria
Description: bacterial SSU rRNA
Rfam family: Bacterial small subunit ribosomal RNA
Source: RNAcentral
ACUCCUACGAGAGGCAGCAGUGGGGAAUAUUGCACAAUGGGCGCAAGCCUGAUGCAGCCAUGCCGCGUGUAUGAAGAAGGCCUUCGGGUUGUAAAGUACUUUCAGCAGUGAGGAAGGUGGUAGUGUUAAUAGCACUAUCAUUUGACGUUAGCUGCAGAAGAAGCACCGGCUAACUCCGUGCCAGCAGCCGCGGUAAUACGGAGGGUGCGAGCGUUAAUCGGAAUUACUGGGCGUAAAGCGCAUGCAGGUGGUUUGUUAAGUCAGAUGUGAAAGCCCGGGGCUCAACCUCGGAAUUGCAUUUGAAACUGGCAGACUAGAGUACUGUAGAGGGGGGUAGAAUUUCAGGUGUAGCGGUGAAAUGCGUAGAGAUCUGAAGGAAUACCGGUGGCGAAGGCGGCCCCCUGGACAGAUACUGACACUCAGAUGCGAAAGCGUGGGGAGCAAACAGGAUUAGAUACCCUGGUAGGAUAGCC